Molecule: transfer RNA, 72 nt
Filed under: Felis catus (domestic cat)
Lineage: Eukaryota; Metazoa; Chordata; Mammalia; Carnivora; Felidae
Also listed under: 4 other names
Rfam family: tRNA
About the family: Transfer RNA (tRNA) molecules are approximately 80 nucleotides in length. Their secondary structure includes four short double-helical elements and three loops (D, anti-codon, and T loops).
Source: Rfam by way of RNAcentral
GCUCACUGGCUCAGUUGGUAGAGCAUGUGACUCUUGAUCUCAGGGUCAUGAGUUCAAGCCCCAUGUUGGGCA